Molecule: long non-coding RNA, 233 nt
Filed under: Elaeis guineensis (African oil palm)
Lineage: Eukaryota; Viridiplantae; Streptophyta; Magnoliopsida; Arecales; Arecaceae
Description: long non-coding RNA (EGUI_LNC021723)
Source: RNAcentral
AAGGUUGUCAUGAUGCAUGUAAUGUAUGUAUAAAAUUUAAAUCAUACCUAUGCAUGUUUAAUUAUUAAACAUAUUAUAAAAAUUUAUUUUCAUGACUUAAAAUAUAUGGUAUGCUUUAUCUAAAAUCUUGAUAGAAUAGUUCUACAAACUGAAACAUAUGUUUUACAUAUUUAAUUUUGAAUUAAGUUUAAAUGAUCUAGAUUUGAGAAUUGAAGAUCAUUAGGUCACCACAU